AUAUUUACUUGGCAGGUAAGAUACCAUGGUCAUGAAAGUGGUUUUCCCAUGGCAAGUCUUAUCCAUUGCACUCCAGAUGUGCCGACCUCCACAAUUUCUCCCAAUGUGGGAAACUUUACUGUAUAAUUUGUGGUAGUAGGGGACUACGUUCAAGCUUUUCUCUG
Molecule: small nuclear RNA, 164 nt
Organism: Sorex fumeus (smoky shrew)
Lineage: Eukaryota; Metazoa; Chordata; Mammalia; Eulipotyphla; Soricidae
Product: U1 spliceosomal RNA
Exons: 1
Source: RefSeq, a predicted model, not a curated record